AAGUCGUAACAAGGUCUCCGUAGGUGAACCUGCGGAGGGAUCAUUACACAAAUAUGAAAGCAGACCCUCAUUGGGGCGUAACGUCACGCCGUGUCCGCAAUAGCGCCAUUGCUGUUGUGCUGACGCGGCGGGGGGUAACGCCCUUUUGGGCCAGUCUGACUCCAUAUUCACCCAUGUCUUUUGCGUACUACUUGUUUCCUUGGCGGGCUCGCCCGCCAAUUGGACCCAAUUAAACCUUUUUUGUAAUUGCAAUCAGCGUCAGCAAAACAAUGUAAUAAAUUACAACUUUCAACAACGGAUCUCUUGGUUCUG
RNAcentral lists this unclassified non-coding RNA (312 nucleotides) under fungal sp. Its description in RNAcentral is "partial internal transcribed spacer region". The stretch from base 1 to 46 matches the Rfam family "Eukaryotic small subunit ribosomal RNA", at positions 1786 to 1831 of the family's 1831-position model. Lineage: Eukaryota; Fungi. The record is from RNAcentral.